GAUGAACGCUGGCGGCGUGCCUAAUACAUGCAAGUCGAGCGAACGGACGAGGAGCUUGCUCCUCUGACGUUAGCGGCGGACGGGUGAGUAACACGUGGAUAACCUACCUAUAAGACUGGGAUAACUUCGGGAAACCGGAGCUAAUACCGGAUAAUAUAUUGAACCGCAUGGCUCAAUAGUGAAAGACGGUUUUGCUGUCACUUAUAGAUGGAUCCGCGCCGCAUUAGCUAGUUGGUAAGGUAACGGCUUACCAAGGCAACGAUGCGUAGCCGACCUGAGAGGGUGAUCGGCCACACUGGAACUGAGACACGGUCCAGACUCCUACGGGAGGCAGCAGUAGGGAAUCUUCCGCAAUGGGCGAAAGCCUGACGGAGCAACGCCGCGUGAGUGAUGAAGGUCUUCGGAUCGUAAAACUCUGUUAUUAGGGAAGAACAAAUGUGUAAGUAACUAUGCACGUCUUGACGGUACCUAAUCAGAAAGCCACGGCUAACUACGUG
This 497-nucleotide ribosomal RNA is filed under the name uncultured bacterium. Its description in RNAcentral is "partial 16S ribosomal RNA". It matches the Rfam family "Bacterial small subunit ribosomal RNA", at positions 28 to 507 of the family's 1533-position model. The record is from RNAcentral.